CUGACUGUGCUAAGGUAGCAUAAUAGAUAGAUACUUAAUUGGUAUCUGGAAUGAAUGGUCUUACGAAAAACCAAUUCUCUUCCUUAUAGAUAGAAAUUUAUAAGCAGGUAAAAAAGCCUUCCUUCUCCACGAAGACGAGAAGACCCUAAAACCUUUAUUAGAUACAAUUCUGAUUCGCUGGGGUGGCGAAUUUUACCACCAAAAUUCCAACUAACACGCUGAGUGACCUUUUCUACCUUCAAAUUUACCUAAAAAGGUACUUUAGGGAUAACAGCACAAUUUCUAUUUUAAGGCCGUAUUAAUAUAGAAGAUUAUGACCUCGAUGUUGAAUUGACAUUACACCUUUGCGCAACCGUAGGGGAAGUGGGUCUGUUCGACCCUUGUAUCGCCACGUGAUCUGAGUUCAGACCGGA
Molecule: ribosomal RNA, 413 nt
Filed under: Tura sp. ACD-2018
Lineage: Eukaryota; Metazoa; Arthropoda; Malacostraca; Isopoda; Porcellionidae
Description: partial 16S ribosomal RNA
Rfam family: Archaeal large subunit ribosomal RNA
Source: RNAcentral